UAAAUGAUGAAAAAUUAUGCUAAUGAACCCUUUGUGAUUUAUUAACCCUCUAAGAAGUUCUGAUAAU
Molecule: small nucleolar RNA, 67 nt
Filed under: Tetranychus urticae (two-spotted spider mite)
Lineage: Eukaryota; Metazoa; Arthropoda; Arachnida; Trombidiformes; Tetranychidae
Description: snoRNA tetur03g09984
Source: RNAcentral